This 24-nucleotide transfer RNA is filed under the name Turdus libonyana (Kurrichane thrush). RNAcentral's name for it is "partial tRNA-Arg". Lineage: Eukaryota; Metazoa; Chordata; Aves; Passeriformes; Turdidae. The record is from RNAcentral. RNAcentral also lists the same sequence under 3 other names.
CAGAAAGUUAGUCUAGCCAAGACA